CGACAGCGGGAAGCCAGGUGGUGACACCGAGCAGAACCCGAAAGCCGUUCUCAGUUCGGAUCGGAGUCUGCAACCCGACUCCGUGAAGCUGGAUUCGCUAGUAAUCGCGCAUCAGCCAUGGCGCGGUGAAUACGUUCCCGGGCCUUGUACACACCGCCCGUCAAGCCAUGGAAGCCGGGGGCGCUUGAAGUGCGUUGCCGCAAGGCGCGCCCUAGAGCGAAACCGGUGACUGGGGCUAAGUCGUAACAAGGUAGC
Molecule: ribosomal RNA, 255 nt
Filed under: uncultured bacterium
Lineage: Bacteria
Description: partial 16S ribosomal RNA
Rfam family: Bacterial small subunit ribosomal RNA
Source: RNAcentral